RNAcentral lists this ribosomal RNA (471 nucleotides) under uncultured bacterium. RNAcentral's name for it is "bacterial SSU rRNA". It matches the Rfam family "Bacterial small subunit ribosomal RNA", at positions 330 to 793 of the family's 1533-position model. The record is from RNAcentral.
CUAUCACUCCUACGGGAGGCAGCAGUGGGGAAUAUUGCACAAUGGGCGCAAGCCUGAUGCAGCCAUGCCGCGUGUGUGAAGAAGGCCUUCGGGUUGUAAAGCACUUUCAGUCGUGAGGAAGGUAGUGUAGUUAACACCUGCAUUAUUUGACGUUACCUACAGAAGAAGCACCGGCUAACUCCGUGCCAGCAGCCGCGGUAAUACGGAGGAUCCAAGCGUUAUCCGGAAUCAUUGGGUUUAAAGGGUCCGUAGGCGGUUUUAUAAGUCAGUGGUGAAAUCCGGCAGCUCAACUGUCGAACUGCCAUUGAUACUGUAGAACUUGAAUUAUUGUGAAGUAACUAGAAUAUGUAGUGUAGCGGUGAAAUGCUUAGAGAUUACAUGGAAUACCAAUUGCGAAGGCAGGUUACUAACAAUAUAUUGACGCUGAUGGACGAAAGCGUGGGUAGCGAACAGGAUUAGAUACCCUGGUAG